RNAcentral lists this long non-coding RNA (3176 nucleotides) under Malus domestica (apple). RNAcentral describes it as "long non-coding RNA (MDOM_LNC010341)". The record is from RNAcentral. Lineage: Eukaryota; Viridiplantae; Streptophyta; Magnoliopsida; Rosales; Rosaceae.
AUCAUAUUGAGUUUCUAUAAACGGUUCCCGGAUAUGGGCUCAUGACAUCAAGGAAGUCUUGAUGUCCAAAAUUUAGAACACUGCAAUCUUCCACGUGCCGCCACAUGUGCUGCCACGUACGGUGGCUACUGCAAAUGUAACUCGAAAUUCUGACCAACUUCAAACAUCACAAAAUUUAAUAAGAUUGUAGAACCAAACAAGAGGAAGAAUCUUCAUUCCUUUUCCGAGGUCCAAUUUGGUCGGGAUCUGAACAUACUUGUGGACCACCGGAAACCCUAUAAAGAGUUCACAUCGAAUCAACGUCAAAUAAAACUCUGACGCCUUAAAAAAUGCUUGGUCUUGGGUUCAAGGGAAUUUCAUUGGUGGUGGUGGUUGACGGGGAAGCUUUCAGAAACAGUGGAUCGUUGUCGUUAAACUCACGGACUCAUCGAAGCUAUUCUUAAUGAAACAGGGAUGAAAUCAACUUAGGUUUAGGUGGAUAGUGAAGAGUAAGUGGCUUGGUGAUGAUUGCAGGUGGUGGCUUAAUGGGUUUCGCCAGAAAAUUUGACGAAUUUGCGUUGGAAAUUCACGCAGGGACUAGGUCAGAAACUAGUCAUAAAUGGGUAGAGGGGGGUCUAGGUCUGCUGGCUCUCUCCUCUAUCAUUGGUCUCCUUCCAAAUAAGUGGUCCCAAGUUACUAUUUAUAUCUAACUUCCAAUGCCCGUAACUUCAUUGUUAUAGCUCUGAUUCGCGAACGACUUUCGUCUACAUGAUUGUGGGAUUGACCUCUAUUUGAAAACACUAAGUAAGACCCCAAACGGUGUACAAAUGUUAAAUGAUUAAUUACUAAAAUUCAAACUUUGUCCCUAAAUAAUUAAAACUCUAAAAUUAACGAAAACAAAAAUAAAAUAAAAUUGCGUAAAAACAAAAUACAUAAAAUUAUACAGUGAAAACCGAGGACGAGAUUUCACACAUCAUGUCCGUGUGGAAAACACCCAUCUCAACGUCCAUCUAACGUACAUCAAAGUCCUUGCACCCAAGGAUCGGAGUUUAAGAAUGAGACGAGUUCCUUCCUUGGUCCACAAUCAUAUUUGAAAUAAGUCAAAUCAAAGUGCAACUCAAAUCACCAACUUCCUUUUACUCGAUUGGCCUUAGGCCGUGAGUUGGAACAUCCGCAACACCAACUUGAAAGAACAAGAGAUCUUGAAAUCCUUAGUUUUUGGCUGAGAUCAAUUUUGAGACGAGCAACUUAUCAUCGAGGUUUCUUAAAAAAAAAUAUUUCUAUCAAGAAAGACUUUGUAGUUAUAAUUAAUGGUGAUCAACCUUUUGUUUUUAGUUUUAAACCUUUGGGAGGUUGGAUUUGAGAUGUUAAAAGGAGUAUCAGCAAUGGUGAAUUUGACAUGUUUGGUAGAGUAUGAUUAUUUUUACAUGUCGAAGAAGCAAAACCUCAACAUAAGAAAAUAAACACAACCUUAUUGAAUAAUCUAUAGUGACAAUAUCUCAAAGGUUGCUAUAUUCUAACAUAACAAUUGCACAAGAAAAGGUCCAAAUACAUACACACAAACAAAAAAAGGACCUUCAAAGCAACUAAAGAGCCCAAAACAAAGAAAACACCAAAGCAAACGCUAGCAGCUUUAAUCUGCUAUCACCCAAAAGCUGCUUGACAACCAACUGAAAUGAAUGUCUGCAGCACAAACCUAAAAACAAGUUGAACAAAGCCCCAAAACUAGAAGAAGACUGAGCCAAAACAGAACCCUAAAACAGAUCUUCAAACACCGCAGAGCACCACAUUGGCAACCAUUGGGAAAGAGCAACCCAAUAGCAACAAUGCCAUCGAAGGAAAUCCCAAGGAAGGAGAUUGUGUGAACACCCAAGUUCAGGGUGAAACACAAUAAAUAGUGGUGUAAAGAUGUAGAAGCUGACACACCCUCGACCUUAAUCGAAGCGUGUUGGCCAUCACGUGAGAGUGAGAUAGCCAUGUGUGUAGUACGGAAGUGAUAAUGAUGUGAAAUUGUGGAUAAAUAAAAACCACUAGCUAUUUUACCCUAGACUAGCAUAUAAGUACGAGUAAGGGUGUUUAGACUAUAGAUACACACACAACCAGAGCAUAGGUAUCGAAAUGCAGUCCAAAAGACAAAGUACUACUUAUACAGAAUAUAAAAUCAACCCUACAUUGAUGGAUAUCUGUCAGAACCGCCGAAGAGACCUUGUGAGCCACCAAUACAGAAGUCUACCUAGAACUUGGAGGGGUGCAAAACAGAAAAUGUGAGUGGGAAAAAAUAAAGCCUUUCAAAACCAUUUAUCUUUCCAAAAGUAAUAACCCCUCACCGUAAAACCCGUAUAAGUUCCUAGAAAAUAAAACUACAAUACGUAUAUAAGAACCAUGCUCGAGAAUAAUAAAACCAGAUGCAUGCCAAGUCAAUCAUGUCAAUCAUGAAUAAGUAAGCCAGGUGAAAUGAACUAAUAUAAAGAAACAUAUCAGGCAGAGUCGCCUAACGUGACAUGUACAGCUAAAUCUAUAGCUCAACAAUCAAAUCAAAUUUUGCACAUGAGUCAGAACCACUGAAUGUGGUAUGUACGACAUGCUAGGUCUAAAUAAAUACGCUUAAGUGCUACGAUCACGUGAAGGCUGUGCGAAGUAUCUCAAGUCACCUACGAGUCGGAACCACCUAAGGUGGUUGGUACGACAGGCUGGCACCUGCCUUGGAUCCAAGGUAAGCGUGUUGUACGGGAGGUGAAUGAUCACGUGAAGGCUAGGCCCUGACCUUGGGCGGAGCACUAACACCGGGGUGUAGGAUAUUAAUCACUAAAUGUAACUCAUUAUAACCAUACAUGCUACCAUCACAACCAUCAAUAUAUACUCACCUGAAGCUUACCUAAGCGUCCACAGCAUCAAGCAGUACUAUGCACAACUAUACUAAUGCAUAUUCUAAUAUGUAAUGCAUACGACAUGGCAUUUAAACCAUAAAAACCAUUUAAACAGUCUCUGGGAAAACAUAAGGCAUAUAUAUGCAUAUAUAUAAAACAAAAGCCCACUCACUGGUAUGUAGUUGGGUCGUAACCCCCAAGUUUCGCUUGGCUGCGCUUGUCCUCUAGAAAAGUCUCACCUAUAUGUGAAACAACUAUUUUAACGUUAAUUUUAAGCACAUAACCAUCAUUGUGUAAUAACUUUUCAUACGUUGCUCAUUUGGGGUAUUU